AUUGAACGCUGGCGGCAUGCCUUACACAUGCAAGUCGAACGGCAGCGCGGACUUCGGUCUGGCGGCGAGUGGCGAACGGGUGAGUAAUACAUCGGAACGUACCCUGUUGUGGGGGAUAACUAGUCGAAAGAUUAGCUAAUACCGCAUACGACCUGAGGGUGAAAGUGGGGGACCGCAAGGCCUCACGCAGCAGGAGCGGCCGAUGUCUGGUUAGCUAGUUGGUGGGGUAAAGGCCCACCAAGGCGACGAUCAGUAGCUGGGCUGUGAGGACGAUCGGCCACACUGGGACGGAGACACGGCCCAGACUCCUACGGGAGGCAGCAGUGGGGAAUUUUGGACAAUGGGGGCAACACUGAUCCAGCAAUGCCGCGUGUGUGAAGAAGGCCUUCGGGUUGUAUAGCACUUUUGUCCGGAAAGAAAUCGCGCUGGUUAAUACCUGGCGUGGAUGACGGUACCGGAAGAAUAAGCACCGGCUAACUACGUGCCAGCAGCCGCCGUAA
This 500-nucleotide ribosomal RNA is filed under the name uncultured bacterium. RNAcentral's name for it is "partial 16S ribosomal RNA". It matches the Rfam family "Bacterial small subunit ribosomal RNA", at positions 29 to 523 of the family's 1533-position model. The record is from RNAcentral.